UGGGGAAUCUUGCGCAAUGGGCGAAAGCCUGACGCAGCGACGCCGCGUGAGUGAUGAAGGCCUUAGGGUUGUAAAGCUCUGUGGAGAGGGACGAAUAAGGCAUGGUUAAUAGCCAUGUUGAUGACGGUACCUCUUUAGCAAGCACCGGCUAACUCUGUGCCAGCAGCCGCGGUAAGACAGAGGGUGCAAACGUUGUUCGGAAUUACUGGGCGUAAAGCGCGUGUAGGCGGCCACGCAAGUCGGGUGUGAAAUCCCAGGGCUCAACCCUGGACGUGCACUCGAAACUGCAUGGCUAGAGUCUCGGAGAGGGAAGCGGAAUUCUGGGUGUAGAGGUGAAAUUCGUAGAUAUCCAGAGGAACACCGGUGGCGAAGGCGGCUUCCUGGACGAGCACUGACGCUGAGACGCGAAAGCGUGGGGAGCAAACAGGAUUAGAUACCCCCGUAGUCC
Molecule: ribosomal RNA, 448 nt
Filed under: uncultured prokaryote
Description: bacterial SSU rRNA
Rfam family: Bacterial small subunit ribosomal RNA
Source: RNAcentral